Molecule: ribosomal RNA, 309 nt
Filed under: Triticum aestivum (bread wheat)
Lineage: Eukaryota; Viridiplantae; Streptophyta; Magnoliopsida; Poales; Poaceae
Description: partial small subunit ribosomal RNA
Source: RNAcentral
AUGGGCUUAAUGGACCAAGUAAGGGAACACACCAGCCCACAAGGGGCUGGUGCGCCCCCCAUAGGGCCAGCCACGUGGGGAGAAAGGGAAAGGAGAGGAGGAAAAGGAAAGUAUGAAGUAGGACUCCUACUUCCUUCCCCUCCCCCCUCCUUCCUUUCCCCCUUGUCCAAAUAUGGUAGGGGGGCGAAUUGGACUAGGGGCCCAAGUAGGAUUCCUCCUACUUGGGCGCGCCCUAGACUGCCUCCCUCCCUCUCCCUCCUUUAUAUACGUGGGGAGGGCACCCCUAGAACACACAUCAAUUGUUCAUAG